This 253-nucleotide ribosomal RNA is filed under the name uncultured bacterium. RNAcentral describes it as "partial 16S ribosomal RNA". It matches the Rfam family "Bacterial small subunit ribosomal RNA", at positions 524 to 776 of the family's 1533-position model. The record is from RNAcentral.
GACAGAGGGUGCAAACGUUGUUCGGAAUUACUGGGCGUAAAGCGCGUGUAGGCGGCUAUGCAAGUCGGAUGUGAAAGCCCUCGGCUCAACCGGGGAAGUGCACCCGAAACUGCAAAGCUAGAGUCUCGGAGAGGAUCGUGGAAUUCUCGGUGUAGAGGUGAAAUUCGUAGAUAUCGGGAGGAACACCUAUGGCGAAGGCAGCUCGCUGGGACGUUACUGACGCUGAGACGCGAAAGCGUGGGGAGCAAACAGG